GCAAGACCGUGAGGUGGAGCAAAACUCAAAAACUUAGUCUCAGUUCGGAUUGUAGGCUGAAACUCGUCUACAUGAAGCUGGAGUUGCUAGUAAUCGCGAAUCAGCAUGUCGCGGUGAAUACGUUCCCGGGCCUUGUACACACCGCCCGUCACACCAUGAGAGUUGGCAAUACCCAACGUACGUGAUCUAACCCGCAAGGGAGGAAGCGUCCUAAGGUAGGGUCAGCGAUUGGGGUGAAGUCGUAACAAGGUAUC
This 254-nucleotide ribosomal RNA is filed under the name uncultured bacterium. Its description in RNAcentral is "partial 16S ribosomal RNA". It matches the Rfam family "Bacterial small subunit ribosomal RNA", at positions 1249 to 1500 of the family's 1533-position model. The record is from RNAcentral.